This is a non-coding RNA of Coffea arabica (coffee), 1755 nucleotides long. NCBI's taxonomy places the organism in Eukaryota, Viridiplantae, Streptophyta, Magnoliopsida, Gentianales, Rubiaceae. The record is from RefSeq and is a predicted model, not a curated record.
ACGCCACUCUCCAUUCCUUUUCUCUCCUCCUUUUUCCAUUGUCUUCUUUUCAACCCUAAACCUCAGCCGCUUUCUUUCUUCUCCCUACUCUCCAUUUCUUCCUCCUUUUUCCUUUGUUUCCUUUCAACCCUAAACCGCAGCUCCAGCUAGGCAGAAUUCCAACAAAAAAUUCUCUCAUAUCCCUCCAGGCCGCAACUCCAGCCCACUUAUACCCUCUCCUCUACAAAGAAGUUGUCAAUCACCUCUCUCUCCUUCUCCGAUCAACUGCAAAGCUAAAGUUUCCUGGAUUCUCGCUUAAAUUUUAGAAAAUUUUUGGGCAAUUCUUCUCCAUUUCCCACAAAAAAAAAAAACAUGAUUUCAAUCAGAUAUCCAUGGCCAUGAUGUAAGCAUUUCUGAUUUUGUUCUGCUUUUUUAAGGCUAUUAUUAAUCCCUUGGAGCUAGCAAUGGAAGCACUCAAAGAGAUCCAAUUAUGGUUCUAUAAAGAUUUCCCUCCUCAUCCUAAGGAACAAGUUUAUGGAUUUGCAACACCAUCAACAAUGAAACCAACUCAAUGGUCUUAUCCAGGUGGUGGAAUUAACCAAAUCCAGCUGAAUGUACAGUUUCAGGGGAUGUUAGGUUGACUCCAUUUUACAGUGUAUCAGAUGUGCUGAAGAAGUUACAGGAGUAUGUAGAAGACAUAAAUGAAAAUAUUGAGAAGCUUGAUACUAGGGACCCUGUUUCAAAAUAUGUGCUACCAGAUGAAAACCUAAGGGGAAGGCUUGAUGGCUACAUACCAUGCCAAGAAUGAGUACUGCCUUCUAACUGACUUGUGCCAGGGCUAUCAUGUGCCUUGGCUAUCAAGUACCAAGGCCUUGGCUAUCAUGUGCCCCUUGUGCCCAUGUCAUGAUAAUAAUAACGAAUAAAAUUCAUGACUUUCAUUAUUGAUGUGAAUGUCAGAUGAUGGAAUAGUGGUAAAGGUGAGGUUAUUUUCUUUUAAUGUGUAGGAAGUUCCACGAAUGGUUGGUGGGCUUGUUAAGACUAUAUUUUCUUGCAUGUGGGAUAUUCUUUUGUAUAUUUUCUAGCAUGUAGGAUAUUCUUUUGUGACUUGUGAGAAAGUCAUGGUAAUUGUUAUGUUUCAUAUGAAUAGUUUCCAUAUUUUAGUUAUUCCUAUCUGACACAUAUGGCUCACUCAUUGCCAAGUCUUGGAAAUUUUUUGCAUGGGAGCACCAUUGAUGGUAAUAAAUGGAAAAAAAAUAACAAUUAUAGGUGCAGAAAUGGUAUAAUGGUAAGGUUUCUUACACAAAUUGAAAAAAAAUGAAAGAAAAUGAUAGGGAUGAAAAAAUAUAAAGGACUUUAUGAACUUUGUGUUUCUAUAGCCAUUUGAUAUUCACACACAGAUUAUUGCUUCAUUUUGAAACAGGUUGCAAAGGAGGGAAUUCCACUGCCUCCAGAUAGAAUGUUAUGCCCUUUGCAUUCACAAAAAGCGUGUAAACCCAUCAGCUGUAGCUGUUUCAGGAUUUGUCUUUUGUUAUUCUUACAUAUUUAAAUAAGUCUCUUAGGUUUGUUUCUCCAUACUUUUGUAUUGAUCAUGGUAAAAUUGCAGAACUACUGCCAAAUAUUGUUUCUAAGUGAUGCUUUCUCUUAUGUCACAUUUCAGGAAGCUUUUAUCAUUUUUCUAUAUAGUGUACGCUAAACUUAAACAGUAAAUUGUACACUGUAGCCAGAAAUUCAAUUUUGCAACUAAUUCUUUUGUUUAAUCAUACUAGCAGUUGCUUG